CUACUGGGGUUUCUAAUCCUGUUUGCUCCCCACGCUUUCGCACCUGAGCGUCAGUCUUUGUCCAGGGGGCCGCCUUCGCCACCGGUAUUCCUCCACAUCUCUACGCAUUUCACCGCUACACAUGGAAUUCUACCCCCCUCUACAAGACUCUAGCUGACCAGUCUUAGAUGCCAUUCCCAGGUUAAGCCCGGGGAUUUCACAUCUAACUUAAUCAACCGCCUGCGUGCGCUUUACGCCCAGUAAUUCCGAUUAACGCUUGCACCCUCCGUAUUACCGCGGCUGCUGGCAC
This 289-nucleotide ribosomal RNA is filed under the name uncultured Providencia sp. Its description in RNAcentral is "partial 16S ribosomal RNA". The record is from RNAcentral. Lineage: Bacteria; Pseudomonadati; Pseudomonadota; Gammaproteobacteria; Enterobacterales; Morganellaceae.